GAGUUUGAUCCUGGCUCAGAACGAACGCUGGCGGCAGGCUUAACACAUGCAAGUCGAACGAGAAGCUAGAGCUUGCUCUAGUGGAAAGUAGCAGACGGGUGAGUAACGCGUGGGAAUCUACCUAGUGGUACGGGAUAACGUUUGGAAACGAACGCUAAUACCGUAUACGCUCUUCGGGGGAAAGAUUUAUCGCCAUUAGAUGAGCCCGCGUUAGAUUAGCUUGUUGGUGAGGUAAAAGCUCACCAAGGCUCCGAUCUAUAGCUGGUCUGAGAGGAUGAUCAGCCACACUGGGACUGAGACACGGCCCAGACUCCUACGGGAGGCAGCAGUGGGGAAUAUUGCACAAUGGGGGAAACCCUGAUGCAGCAACGCCGCGUGGAGGAUGACACAUUUCGGUGCGUAAACUCCUUUUAUAUGGGAAGAUAAUGACGGUACCAUAUGAAUAAGCACCGGCUAACUCCGUGCCAGCAGCCGCGGUAAUACGGUGGGUGCAAGCGUUACUCGGAAUCACUGGGCGUAAAGCGCGCGCAGGCGGCUAUUUAAGUUGGAUGUGAAAGCCUACGGCUCAACCGUAGAACUGCAUCCAAAACUAUUUAGCUAGAGUGUGGGAGAGGAAGAUGGAAUUAGUUGUGUAGGGGUAAAAUCCGUAGAGAUAACUAGGAAUACCAAAAGCGAAGGCAAUCUUCUGGAACACUACUGACGCUGAGGCGCGAAAGCGUGGGGAGCAAACAGGAUUAGAUACCCUGGUAGUCCACGCAGUAAACGAUGAAUGUUAGUCGUCGGGGGCCUAGUGUCUUCGGUGAUGCAGCUAACGCAUUAAACAUUCCGCCUGGGGAGUACGGUCGCAAGAUUAAAACUCAAAGGAAUAGACGGGGACCCGCACAAGUGGUGGAGCAUGUGGUUUAAUUCGAAGAUACGCGAAGAACCUUACCUAGCCUUGACAUAUAUUAGAACUCCGCAGAGAUGCAGAGGUGCCUUCGGGAGCUUUUAUACAGGUGCUGCACGGCUGUCGUCAGCUCGUGUCGUGAGAUGUUGGGUUAAGUCCCGCAACGAGCGCAACCCUCGUCACUAGUUACUAACGGUUCGGCCGAGGACUCUAGUGAGACUGCCUUCGCAAGGAGGAGGAAGGUGAGGACGACGUCAAGUCAUCAUGGCCCUUACGGCUAGGGCAACACACGUGCUACAAUGGCCAGGACAGUGAGACGCGAUACCGCGAGGUGGAGCAAAUCUAUAAACCUGGUCUCAGUUCGGAUUGUAGUCUGCAACUCGACUACAUGAAGCUGGAAUCACUAGUAAUCGUAGAUCAGCUAUGCUACGGUGAAUACGUUCCCGGGUCUUGUACUCACCGCCCGUCACACCAUGGGAGUUGAUUUCACCCGAAGCGGGGAAGCUAAACUGGCUACCCUCCACGGUGGAAUUAGCGACUGGGGUGAAGUCGUAACAAGGUAACC
This 1451-nucleotide ribosomal RNA is filed under the name uncultured bacterium. Its description in RNAcentral is "bacterial SSU rRNA". It matches the Rfam family "Bacterial small subunit ribosomal RNA". The record is from RNAcentral.